CUAUCCCUACGGGACGCAGCAGUAGGGAAUCUUCCACAAUGGGCGAAAGCCUGAUGGAGCAACGCCGCGUGGGUGAAGAAGGUCUUCGGAUCGUAAAACCCUGUUGUUAGAGAAGAAAGUGCGUGAGAGUAACUGUUCACAUUUCGACGGUAUCUAACCAGCAAGCCACGGCUAACUACGUGCCAGCAGCCGCGGUAAUACGUAGGUGGCAAGCGUUCUCCGGAUUUAUUGGGCGUAACGGGAC
This 244-nucleotide ribosomal RNA is filed under the name uncultured bacterium. RNAcentral describes it as "partial 16S ribosomal RNA". It matches the Rfam family "Bacterial small subunit ribosomal RNA", at positions 333 to 569 of the family's 1533-position model. The record is from RNAcentral.